CAAAAGAUCUAAAUUUUACGUAAUGGAUCCCGUCCCGAUCGUCCCCUCACACGUGGCACUGCCGCGUAAACAAUGCCACAUCGUAGAGAAAGCAUAAGGGGGAGGCCAUCGGGAGAUUAUCCCGAGAAUUCAAACUAUUCUUGUAAUGUCGUACGAGCCUCGUUCCGUUCGCUCUUUCAUGCGCAGCAUUACCGGUGUAAAUGUAAUAAUGCCGCACAGUGAACAAGCAAAAGGGGAAGAGAGUCUCCGGAUAGCCGUUACAAUCCAGUAACGACUUAACGCAGAUUACUCCUGCAUAAGCGUCUCUGCGAUGAGGGGAGAAGAAACAUGGGGCAUAGACGAUGUGCUGCUGAGAGUCACAAUGCGGAUCAUCAGGGUCUCCCGUCACCUGGAAACCACCAGACCGUAGACUGAGUAUCCGAGGGAAACUGAAUAUAAAUCUGGCCCGAAUACAAGGAAUCCUGUUCGGGAUCCUCGGUGUUCAUUGGCCCUCUGCAGCUCUUCACAUGCUUCAUGGAGUUUGUCUACAUAGUCCGUCUGCUUCCUGCGUCUUCUCCGAGCGGCGUCACGAUUCCUUUUUCUCCUCCUUUCCAGCUUCUGUUUCUCCUCCUCAGAUAGGCCGUCAGGGAAGGGGUGUUUGGAGGGGCUGUUGGGGAUGUCGUGACUUUUCCUUUUUUUCCGUCUCGAAGUCGACCCGAGAGAAAGAUCGAGGGGGGACGGAUCGUCAGCGGGACUGUAGGGCAUAGCGCCCGGCUCUGGCUCCUGAGACAUCUCUUUACACCUGUACCGUGCCCGCCUUCUCCCUGGUAUACACCUGCAAGAGACGCCUGCCUAGGAAUCAGUGUGCGGAAUUUAUUCUUAACAUUCCAGCACCAACCUCCCCGAACCAAAAUAAUAAUUAAAAAAGCAACACCCACAGACCCGAAAGUAUUGAAGAAUUACACGUUCGCGAACGGUCACAAUUCACCUGUCAUUUUAUAAAGGAGCAAUAGUUUAUUUAAGAGAUCUACCCGAUAUGUUACACUCCCGGAGAUCAGGUCUCUUAGUUAUCCGGGAAUGAUUACCUUACCCGCACUUUGGUUCUAAAUGUCACGAUCGAAAAGCCGGCUGGUAGAGGGAUCGGGCGAAAAGAUCGGGGAGCGGACGGACUGAGCCUUAAGUAGAAUAACUGGCGCGCAGCCAGAUCCUGUAUGAAAGGAUGAGGCUGAAAAAUAUACAUACAUUCAAAAUAAUUAGAAAAACAAAGACAAUGAACGUCCCCGCUACACGUCCGCGUUCGUCUCGGCGACCGCCGUACUUCCGCAAUCGUUUACAGAAGCGUCAUAUCCGUUCUAUUUCCGCAAACAAAGACUUUGAGACAGGAUUUCCGUGUUGUCGUGUCCGGUCAUACAUUCUAUGUAAACAAGGAAGUUAUCCCCUUUGCUUCCGUAUUAUCGAUAAUCGGCUCCGAUCCCGAUUCCGCGGACCAAGCAUUGGCUGCAAACUAUAUCGGAAUGCGCCAGACCUUCUUUGCGCGUCUCCAGACACUUCUGCGAUCGCAGACGAAGAAGCCUGACGUAGGCGGACGGCAAACUUUCGCCAUGUGUACUGCUUGUAUGCUACAACGGCCAAUCGUGUUCCACAUGCAUGCGACUGCAUGUUUAGGUCUCACCCCUCUCGAACCCUACAACAUCUCCGCUCCAUGUGAUCCGAAGGGAGAUCGAAGAUCGUAGACUCUCUACAUACACCGGCCUCAAUAUACCACGACCGACAGAGAAAGUUGGGGAAGGUUGUCGCAGUAUCCGUUUCGAGAUGGAAAGUGGGUCCGCAGUCAAUGCAUCCGGGGUCUGCAACGAUAUCACAGCUGUAAUCAACACGGAUGUAUUUAUCAUGUACAAAGACGGAAGCGCGGGGACGUUGAUGGAGGAGUUGCAAACCUGACGUCACAAAACAGCUACGCAGCAAAAGCAGGUAAAGUAUAACCAUAAUCGUGCAACAACGCCCAAAUAGUUUAAAUGGUGCAAUUCGUCAAUAAAUGAAAGUUUCAUGUCGUGUAU
RNAcentral lists this long non-coding RNA (2036 nucleotides) under Gallid alphaherpesvirus 2. RNAcentral describes it as "ERL lncRNA as3 variant; Splicing of exon 4". Lineage: Duplodnaviria; Heunggongvirae; Peploviricota; Herviviricetes; Herpesvirales; Orthoherpesviridae. The record is from RNAcentral.